AUUCAGACAAGACCAAAUUAACUAUUCAGGGGUGUGUUUCCCGUAAAACACUGGAAUUCGCUGAUUGACUAACGAAGUAUGAUGCAUCGUUGGAGAAAUUAACUAGCUAGUUUCAACUAGCUGUUUCCUAAAACAGUAGUAACAUGUUCGCACCUCUGUCAUUUGAACCAUGUUGGUUCAACAAUAUUGGACUGUUGUUAAUGACGUCAUGCGCAAGUAAUAACUUCUGCUAAAUAAUCGAUUCAAGAUCGCAACUUUUUAUAGUUAAUUUACACAAAAACAACUGAAAGGCAUUCAUUUUUAAAUCAAGUUUACAUGCAGUAUGUAAUUGGUGUACACUUUAUUCCUCUAGGAUAUGCAUGCGGUUCAUUCAGUCAGCAGUUUACUCCACUUUCUCAGAAAUACCGCCGUAACGAACAUGAGGACUAUUUUGACAAUUUUUGUUCCCUGUUUUGCUUUAUUUGAACCACAGGUCGAGGGCUGUCGUUCCAACCACACAAAUCUGCAUUGCUGUUUGCGAAUAUUCGUUGGAACUACAGUAUGGUUUCAGGAAACUCCGAAACAUUGAACUGUUGGAAACUAGCAGCCAUAGUUGGCUAACGAUGCUUUUGGGAAACACACUCCGGUUAUGAACCAGUUUGAACACAAAAGAACUGAUUCAGUUGAACAAUUCACAUGAAAUGGUAUUUAGGCAUAACUAGGAGAAAUUAUAUUCAUUGUUGCAAUAUCCAGAUUUUCAAAAAAAAAAUCUGUAUUGCCUGUUGAAAAACACAAUUUAGUCGACAACUAGUUAUUUUCUGACAGUAUCUCCAGAACGUAUCAUUGAUUGUUUUAUUUCUGGUAAACAUCACAUGGUAGACGAGACCUCAGGAGGAGCAGUCCGUCACAGGCUCAGUCUAAACACAUUUACUCAAAGUUAACUUAGAAAACUUACAAACACAUAUCUGUUUUAAAUUGAAAUCUUAAGAGGUUAAGAUUCAAAAUAGAGGCUAUUAUUCGAGGAGGUAAUGGAUAAAAAUAAAUAAUGCCUUUAAAUGCUGCCUACAGGCACAGCCCAUGAGGGUUUGGUAAAGCUUAUAUUUAUUUACAGUUAUCAUUUCGAGUUUGAUAGAUGAAAUGUUAUCGAACACGGAAUCUUUUCAAAACCGCAGAACUCUGAUAGUCGCUAUCUGUAUAUUCAAGUUUAUCCAAAAUAGCCUUCACAUGACAGGCGCACAGGAGAAACACACAGGCAGAAAGAAAAUCCAACUGACAGAACUUUGUGCUCUAACAUACAGAUACAUAUCUUUACCUUAUUACAUUUAUCUUGAGGUUAAUACACAUUUAUACAGAUUCUCGGUUUGUACAUUUAUCCUGUACAAUCACAGCUUAAGUUACUCUCAAUAUGAUGCAUCUUUUCUUUUCAUCAACAUUUACCCUUUAUGUGUCGUUACAGGGGACAAUUCAUAACUGGAUCAAAAUUAUAAAUAUUAAAUGUAUACUAUAGGGGUAGCACAGGGCACAAUAAGAGUCAGACAGCAAAAAGCAAAGAAGCAUAGGGUAUAAAUUAACAAGUAAAAGAAGGAAUGAAUUAAGGAGAAGAGACAGAAUGACUGAAAAAAUAAAUGAUGGGAUGAAAGAACAUCAUAGAGGAGUGAAAUCCAAGUGUUUAAGAUGAUAAAUACAGCUAUGUGACAUAUUAUAAUAACUGCAAAGGGAAACACCUCGACAAGUGUUCAUUUACAGCAGUUUAUCUGUGAUGUUGCUUGUAAAUGUUGCCACUAAAUCUAACUAUGUGGGCGGGAAACCUUAACUUUUGAGGGCCUAAACAUACUCUGCGUAAGUAUGUGAACGCUCCAUU
Sinocyclocheilus rhinocerous is the source of this 1840-nucleotide long non-coding RNA. RefSeq lists it as uncharacterized. The record is from RefSeq and is a predicted model, not a curated record. NCBI's taxonomy places the organism in Eukaryota, Metazoa, Chordata, Actinopteri, Cypriniformes, Cyprinidae. The transcript is spliced from 2 exons.